RNAcentral lists this long non-coding RNA (2131 nucleotides) under Homo sapiens (human). RNAcentral's name for it is "HSALNT0334443". The record is from RNAcentral. Lineage: Eukaryota; Metazoa; Chordata; Mammalia; Primates; Hominidae.
CUCUCUUUGCCUGCCACCAACCAUGUAAGAUAUGAUUUGCUCCUCCUUGCCUUCCACCAUGAUUGUGAGGCCUCCCCAGCCACGUGGAACUGCCUUGGAAGCAAAGCCCCCAGGAAUGACUGGAAGACAACACUCUGCAGACCCCUUCCACAGGGUACCCCUGCUCUCCAGGAAGGGCCUUCAGGGCAGCAUUUGGAGGUGGCAUGAGCUAGCAGCGGCGUGCAGCCUGGUCACUGUCUGAUCUGGUCAGCCCAGCCGCACAGAACACCACACAGGCUCUGGCAGCUCCCUGGGAAAGAAGAAAGCAGCAUCUUGCAUGUGUGGCUUAUUCUGAAAGGAAUAGUAUCUGAGGGAUUUGAUGGACUCUGACAGGGGGAAGAAGGUAGUGAAAAAGAUGGAACAAAGAUGCCAUUUAAAAAUACUGGCUCGUGUUCAGGAUUUCGCUAUUUUUUACUGCAAGGAACAAGUAAAAAAAAAAAUCCUCCUAUUGAUGAGUAUUUUUCUACAGUCAUUAAAAGUCAAAGGACUCAGGGCUUCCGACUUUCCCUCUUGGGAAACCUGUAAGCUCGUCUUCUGGACAGCUUAGAAAAGGGCUGGAUGGCGAAGGCGAGAGGCUUAAAGGCCCCCAGCAAGCAGCUCCGCCGAGGAACGGGUGCAGGGGACACACUGUGUUUUCAGUUCAGAUUCUGUGAUCUUUCUGCCAAACAGGGGUUUACAAAGCAAAAACCUCCAGAGAAUUCUCAUACUUUCUGGCUUAUUCUCCUGGUGUUCGUCUUAACAGGAAUCAGCUGUUUGCCUUCUCACUUAUACAGCAUGUUGCUGAGGCGAAUUUAGCAUCUGGCCUGGCUAUUAUUAAAAACAAGAACAUCCUGCUCUGUUGGGAGAACAGCACCACUGGCAAUAAAAGGACAGAGAUCAUUUGCAUUCAGGAUUCCAGAGAUGUGUUUCAGUUCAAUAUCUGCGCUCCCUCCUUCCACCCCUGCUUUCAUUUUAAGAUUUCCUGAUGCAUCCAUCACUUGCAGCGUGGUCAACUUUUUUUCUGAAACAGGCACACACAGGCAGAGCAUAUUUUUUCCUUUCACUGGGAGGCAGGAAUGACUGGAGUUGUUCAAACACCGGUCCGUUCCUGCAAUUCCUAUGAUAAAGUUGAACUACCAGAGGAAUUUUUUUUUUUUUUUUUACAACUGCGGAAAUGAAAAAGUAAACAAGACUGGGACUGCAUUGGUAUUUAGGCUCCAGCUUUUUGUUGUUGUUUUUGUCUUUCCCUUUUUUUAAGCCAUUGGGCUAGGAGCCUGAAGGGACCAUAUAAUAUGAAAAACGCUGAGAGGUUUUAUUAGCCAAUAAAAAAAAAAACUGAGUUCCUAUUAACCACUUAACUCCUUGCUGAAGUUCAAACUUGCUUUCUCCUUGGAUCCUUCUCUCCCUCUCAUGCCCACGAGGAAUGACGGUUGGUUCACCAAUCUUUCCCUGCACAACCUGAGCUCACAGUUUGUGCUCCAGAAGGUGUGGUUGAGAAUCGUAUUCAAUAAUAAUCUCUGUAUUUCUCAUCUGUGAAGCCAUAAAUAAGAUUUCUGUAAGGAGCCAAAUGUUCUACGCCCCCAAAUCUACACACACAAAGACUCUUUAAGCACUCUACUAAAAAAGAGUAAAGUCAUUGUGAUUUCUAGGAUUUUAAAUACUAAAUGAUGGUUAGGGAGAACAAAAUCAGGCUGAAGCAUUUCUGGGAUAAAUAAUGAUCCCACAAAACGCUCCUCUCAUUUGGGGGCAGAAGAAUGAAGGGAAACUCACAGAGAAACAGAAAAUGAAAUUGGUCCAACUAUUUCACUGCUGGAGAUAGAUGGAGUUAGGAUACAUAGGUGACUUGGUUUAGGAAAGAGAGGAUGUCGAAGGUGAUUUAAAUCCUAACACUGUUUUAUUAAUCGUGCCACAAUUCUACAUGUCAUGUGAUUUUGUUAUCUGCUUUUUGCUGCUUUUAAAUAAAUUUGUACUUUUCUAUCAAUCCAUCAUCCAAUUGUGUUUCGGGUGUUCUUGGCAUUCCCAUCUCUCAAAAACACCCUUAGUUUCUGCCAUUAUAUACUGUAUCUCUAAUUCCACGAAGCUCACUCUAUCCUAUUUCCAUUUUCCACAUUCG